UACGGGGGGGGCAAGCGUUGUUCGGAAUUACUGGGCGUAAAGGGCUCGUAGGCGGCCAACUAAGUCAGACGUGAAAUCCCCAGGCUCAACCUGGGAACUGCGUCUGAUACUAGAUGGCUUGAAUCCGGGAGAGGGAUGCAGAAUUCCAGGUGUAGCGGUGAAAUGCGUAGAUAUCUGGAGGAAUACCGGUGGCGAAGGCGGCAUCCUGGACCGGCAUUGACGCUGAGGAGCGAAAGCCAGGGGAGCAAACGGG
Molecule: ribosomal RNA, 253 nt
Filed under: uncultured bacterium
Lineage: Bacteria
Description: partial 16S ribosomal RNA
Rfam family: Bacterial small subunit ribosomal RNA
Source: RNAcentral